This is a long non-coding RNA of Ctenopharyngodon idella (grass carp), 588 nucleotides long. RefSeq lists it as uncharacterized. Lineage: Eukaryota; Metazoa; Chordata; Actinopteri; Cypriniformes; Xenocyprididae. The record is from RefSeq and is a predicted model, not a curated record. The transcript has 4 exons.
UGAAGAAAGAAGUCAUGAGGGCUGCAGGUGACGUACCCGACAUCAGAUCUCCUCCUGCGCUUGCUGCGGCCGGGGCGGCUGGUUUGGCCUCACCAGCACCCGCAGAUUCUGAUCCAUCCACGCAGCAUGAGGGUAAAAAAAGAACUGAACUCCAAUGUUCAAAGACUAUUGCCCUAGCAACACAGAUAGCAAUCUCCACGGCAACACCGAUGCCAAUUCAGAACACUCAAGACUGACCAGAGGAGGCAGAGCCUGCAGAGGAGGCUCUAUGUGCUUCUUAAAAUCGAAUGUGGCACAGCCUUUUCUCCCAGAAAAAUCUUCUUAAGGAAGAAACCUCACUACUGACCUCCGAGGAGAUCCGCUGAGCCGGAGGAAGCACCGGCAGCGGAAGGGGGAGGAGCCAAAGAAACGGCUGCCUCAGCGGCUGUGGUGGUGGGCGUGGCUGAGGAGUUGGAGUCUACGGCAAGGGUUGGGUCAGGAAGGAGAGUCUCUGUGACUGUACCUCCCCAAGAUGUGGGAGCAGCUGAUGCUCCUCCUGCAGAAGGUCCAGAGGAAGACAACGGGUCCAGAUCCAGAAGAGAACUACAG